GAUGAACGCUAGCGGCAGGCCUAACACAUGCAAGUCGAGGGGUAGAACACUUCGGUGUUUGAGACCGGCGCACGGGUGCGUAACGCGUAUGCAAUCUACCUUGUACAGGGGAAUAGCCCAGAGAAAUUUGGAUUAAUGUCCCAUAGUAUAUAACCUUCGCAUGUUGGUUAUAUUAAAGUUCCAACGGUACAAGAUGAGCAUGCGUCCCAUUAGUUAGUUGGUAAGGUAACGGCUUACCAAGACAAUGAUGGGUAGGGGUCCUGAGAGGGAGAUCCCCCGACACUGGUACUGAGACACGGACCAGACUCCUACGGGAGGCAGCAGUGAGGAAUAUUGGACAAUGGGCGCAAGCCUGAUCCAGCCAUGCCGCGUGCAGGAAGACGGUCCUAUGGAUUGUAAACUGCUUUUAUACAGGAAGAAACACACCCUCGUGAGGGUACUUGACGGUACUGUAAGAAUAAGGAUCGGCUAACUCCGUG
Molecule: ribosomal RNA, 479 nt
Filed under: uncultured bacterium
Lineage: Bacteria
Description: bacterial SSU rRNA
Rfam family: Bacterial small subunit ribosomal RNA
Source: RNAcentral